UCAAUUCUCCGGCCCCACUCCCAGAGAACGGAAAAGCAAACACCGUACUUAUCAUCAUUGGUGUGCGCUGCCCAUCCGCAACAUUGUAGCCACCCAGGCCCCUUAUCAAAUUCCCAAAUAUUUCUACCUUGCCCUCCCCAACAAUGUUCUUCGCAAUGUUGCCCGCUUUAGGCUUCGUGUCCAUACUCUUUGGUAUGAAACAUCUACUUGGAAUCAGGGUUCUUCCUCUCAUUGUGAUUUGUGUCAGGAUGUAGAUUGUAUUCAGGAUCAAAAACAUGUUAUUUUUCACUGUACUCACCCCCAUGUCGUUGCAUUGCGUGCUAAGUAUGCCUUUCUAUUCAAUAACCAGGAGGCUCAAG
Molecule: long non-coding RNA, 359 nt
Filed under: Dunaliella salina
Lineage: Eukaryota; Viridiplantae; Chlorophyta; Chlorophyceae; Chlamydomonadales; Dunaliellaceae
Description: long non-coding RNA (DSAL_LNC000372)
Source: RNAcentral